GACAGAGGGUGCAAACGUUGUUCGGAAUCACUGGGCGUAAAGCGCGUGUAGGCGGCUUUGCAAGUCGGAUGUGAAAGUCCACGGCUCAACCGUGGAAGUGCAUCCGAAACUGCAUGGCUGGAGUCUCGGAGAGGAAGGUGGAAUGCUUGGUGUAGAGGUGAAAUUCGUAGAUAUCAAGCAGAACACCUGCGGCGAAGGCGGCCUUCUGGACGAUGACUGACGCUGAGACGCGAAAGCGUGGGGAGCAAACAGG
This 253-nucleotide ribosomal RNA is filed under the name uncultured bacterium. RNAcentral describes it as "partial 16S ribosomal RNA". It matches the Rfam family "Bacterial small subunit ribosomal RNA", at positions 524 to 776 of the family's 1533-position model. The record is from RNAcentral.